AGUGAACGCUGGCGGUAGGCCUAACACAUGCAAGUCGAACGGCAGCACAGUAAGAGCUUGCUCUUACGGGUGGCGAGUGGAGGACGGGUGAGGAAUACAUCGGAAUCUACUUUUUCGUGGGGGAUAACGUAGGGAAACUUACGCUAAUACCGCAUACGACCUACGGGUGAAAGCAGGGGAUCUUCGGACCUUGCGCGAUUGAAUGAGCCGAUGUCGGAUUAGCUAGUUGGCGGGGUAAAGGCCCACCAAGGCGACGAUCCGUAGCUGGUCUGAGAGGAUGAUCAGCCACACUGGAACUGAGACACGGUCCAGACUCCUACGGGAGGCAGCAGUGGGGAAUAUUGGACAAUGGGCGCAAGCCUGAUCCAGCCAUACCGCGUGGGUGAAGAAGGCCUUCGGGUUGUAAAGCCCUUUUGUUGGGAAAGAAAAGCAGCAGGUUAAUACCCCGCUGUUCUGACGGUACCCAAGGAAUAAGCACCGGCUAACUUCGUG
RNAcentral lists this ribosomal RNA (492 nucleotides) under uncultured bacterium. RNAcentral describes it as "partial 16S ribosomal RNA". It matches the Rfam family "Bacterial small subunit ribosomal RNA", at positions 29 to 507 of the family's 1533-position model. The record is from RNAcentral.